This is a long non-coding RNA of Sphaeramia orbicularis (orbiculate cardinalfish), 136 nucleotides long. RefSeq lists it as uncharacterized. The transcript has 2 exons. NCBI's taxonomy places the organism in Eukaryota, Metazoa, Chordata, Actinopteri, Kurtiformes, Apogonidae. The record is from RefSeq and is a predicted model, not a curated record.
UGUAUUAUCUUAUAUUUAAUUCACUGAUCAUUUAGAUGCUUAUGAAAACUCAGGAAAUUCAAAGGUUAUUAUAUCAAAACAAAGAAAACUGAGGAAAAAGCGACUUUUUCAGCAAAAAUAAUCAAUAACUGAAUGU